CGCCAAGGGAGGCGCACGCGGUCUGCCGCUAGCCGGGCGCCGGCCCCAAAUUCAAAUAUGUAAUAGUGACCGUUAAAACUACGGGCUUAAAACUUAGUUGCGUACAAAUAAUCGAGUAUAAUAGAGAGUUGUACUGAUCGCUAUAGUAUGUGAAUCGAUAUUUUUUCUGAAUUUUUAAAUAUUGCAGUGCGGCAGUGGCGUGUUUCCGAACAAAUGCGAGUGAAAACUGCUACCCUUUAAUUUUGAUACAGCAACCUGUUGACUGCCAGCAAUGCCACCGUACACGGGGUGCCGCACAGAAAAUGACUAUUUUGAGGUUAUGUGGAGACGAGGUCAAAGCCGAUCUCCGUAGCGCUGUCUAGAUCAGUUCUUUGCAAGGGCCGAAGGCGUUGCAAAGAUGAAUCUCCUCAACAUGGACGCGGAGAAUCGCGUGGUCCUAAACGUUGGCGGCAUUCGCCACGAAACCUACAAAGCUACGCUGAAGAAGAUCCCCGCGACGCGGCUGUCGCGGCUGACGGAGGCGCUCGCCAACUACGACCCCGUCCUCAACGAGUACUUCUUUGACCGCCACCCUGGCGUCUUCGCGCAGGUCCUCAACUAUUACAGGACGGGCAAGCUCCACUAUCCAACGGAUGUCUGCGGGCCGCUGUUUGAAGAAGAGCUGGAGUUCUGGGGCCUGGAUGCCAACCAGGUGGAGCCUUGCUGCUGGAUGACGUAUACCCAGCAUCGAGACACCCAGGAAACUCUAGCUGUCCUGGACCGCCUGGACCUGGAUACAGAGAAGCCGUCUGAUGAGGAAGUGGCGCGCAAGUUCGGUUUCGAAGAAGACUACUAUAAUGGAACAGUAUCCUGGUGGCAGCAGCUGAAACCGCAGAUGUGGUCUUUGUUUGACGAGCCUUAUAGUUCUAAUGCUGCGAAGAUAAUCGGAGUGAUAUCAGUGUUCUUCAUAUGCGUAUCCAUCAUAUCGUUCUGUCUCAAAACGCAUCCAGACAUGAGAGUUCCAGUGAUAAGGAAUUACACAGUGACGACCGCGAACCAGACGCAAAGCUGGGCGUUGGACAAAGUCCAGACCAACGCUCACAUUGCGUUCUUCUACAUCGAGUGUGUCUGUAACGCUUGGUUCACGCUAGAAAUUCUCGUACGCUUCAUUUCGUCCCCGAAUAAAUGCGAGUUCAUCAAAUCCUCCGUCAACAUCAUAGACUACAUCGCCACCAUGAGUUUCUACAUCGACCUAAUCCUCCAGAAGUACGCGUCUCACGUCGAGAACGCUGACAUCCUGGAGUUCUUCUCGAUCAUUCGGAUCAUGAGACUGUUUAAAUUGACCAGACACUCGUCCGGCUUGAAGAUUCUUAUACAGACUUUCAGGGCGUCGGCCAAAGAGUUGACCCUAUUAGUGUUUUUCCUAGUGCUCGGUAUAGUUAUAUUUGCGAGUUUGGUGUAUUACGCUGAGAGGAUUCAGACGAAUCCGCACAAUGACUUUAACAGCAUACCGCUUGGUUUGUGGUGGGCGCUGGUUACUAUGACGACGGUGGGUUAUGGAGACAUGGCUCCGAAGACCUAUGUAGGAAUGUUCGUGGGUGCUUUAUGCGCAUUAGCUGGUGUGUUGACGAUAGCUCUGCCAGUGCCUGUUAUAGUAUCCAAUUUCGCUAUGUACUAUUCGCACACGCAAGCGCGAGCCAAGCUGCCCAAGAAGCGACGGAGAGUCAUCAACGUGGAACCUACUAGGCCGCCACUGCGUGCGCCUGGAGCGCCCGGAGGCCCCGCGGGCCCUUUAGCCCCCGGCAUGGGGCCCCAAGCUGUGAACAGACGAAUGAAUGCCAUAAAAACUAACCACCCAAAAGACAUAAUGGGACCUAACAUGGAUGGUGAUCGUAGCGAACUCGAAGCUAUGAUCCAAACAACACCAAACAACUGCAAACGAAAAAAUUUAAACAUGCUUUAAAAAGCAACACUGACUCAGGGAACGGGCUUACUAUUACGCCUGCACUCAAGGAGCUUUCAGGAAUGCUAAAAGAAUCAUAAAUAAUUCACUAACAUUAUCACUUGCACAGAAAUUCGAGGCGACACUAGAAGCCAAAUAGGUCCCAUUGCCCCAUGAAGAGCAACGAAGUCGCAAGCCUAAUGCCAGGGAUGGACAUAGCUGUAGCCACGCGUUUGUCCCCAAGCCCCCGCGAUAUGAGCCCCGCUCUAGCGAUAGCGAUCCCAAUGAUGAAAUCAGUCAAUCUAGUACCAGC
RNAcentral lists this unclassified non-coding RNA (2234 nucleotides) under Zerene cesonia (dogface butterfly). RNAcentral's name for it is "potassium voltage-gated channel protein Shaw-like, transcript variant X3". The stretch from base 1529 to 1642 matches the Rfam family "Potassium channel RNA editing signal". Lineage: Eukaryota; Metazoa; Arthropoda; Insecta; Lepidoptera; Pieridae. The record is from RNAcentral.